Molecule: ribosomal RNA, 369 nt
Filed under: uncultured Psychrobacter sp.
Lineage: Bacteria; Pseudomonadati; Pseudomonadota; Gammaproteobacteria; Moraxellales; Moraxellaceae
Description: bacterial SSU rRNA
Rfam family: Bacterial small subunit ribosomal RNA
Source: RNAcentral
CCUAACGGUUAAUACCCGUUAGCGAUGACAUUAGCUGCAGAAUAAGCACCGGCUAACUCUGUGCCAGCAGCCGCGGUAAUACAGAGGGUGCAAGCGUUAAUCGGAAUUACUGGGCGUAAAGCGAGCGUAGGUGGCUUGAUAAGUCAGAUGUGAAAUCCCCGGGCUUAACCUGGGAACUGCAUCUGAAACUGUUAGGCUAGAAUAGGUGAGAGGAAGGUAGAAUUCCAGGUGUAGCGGUGAAAUGCGUAGAGAUCUGGAGGAAUACCGAUGGCGAAGGCAGCCUUCUGGCAUCAUAUUGACACUGAGGUUCGAAAGCGUGGGUAGCAAACAGGAUUAGAUACCCUGGUAGUCCACGCCGUAAACGAUGUC